This 253-nucleotide ribosomal RNA is filed under the name uncultured bacterium. RNAcentral describes it as "partial 16S ribosomal RNA". It matches the Rfam family "Bacterial small subunit ribosomal RNA", at positions 524 to 776 of the family's 1533-position model. The record is from RNAcentral.
UACGUAGGGGCCAAGCGUUGUCCGGAAUCAUUGGGCGUAAAGCGCGUGUAGGCGGCCCGGUAAGUCCGCUGUGAAAGUCGGGGGCUCAACCCUCGAAAGCCGGUGGAUACUGUCGGGCUCGAGUGCGGAAGAGGCGAGUGGAAUUCCUGGUGUAGCGGUGAAAUGCGCAGAUAUCAGGAGGAACACCGAUUGCGAAGGCAGCUCGCUGGGACGUUACUGACGCUGAGACGCGAAAGCGUGGGGAGCAAACAGG